GCGCAUGCCUAUACAUGCAGUCGAGCGAACAGAUGAAGUGCUUGCACUUCUGACGUUAGCGGCGAACGGGUGAGUAACACGUAAGGAAUCUACCUAUAAGCGGGGGAUAACAUUCGGAAACGGGUGCUAAUACCGCAUAAUAUCUUCUUCCGCAUGGAAGAAGAUUGAAAGACGGCUCUGCUGUCACUUAUAGAUGACCUUGCGGUGCAUUAGUUAGUUGGUGGGGUAACGGCCUACCAAGACGAUGAUGCAUAGCCGACCUGAGAGGGUGAUCGGCCACAUUGGGACUGAGACACGGCCCAAACUCCUACGGGAGGCAGCAGUAGGGAAUCUUCCGCAAUGGGCGAAAGCCUGACGGAGCAAUGCCGCGUGAGUGAAGAAGGCCUUCGGGUCGUAAAACUCUGUUAUAAGAGAAGAACAAAUUGUAGAGUAACUGCUACAGUCUUGACGGUAUCUUAUCAGAAAGCCACGGCUAACUACGUGCCAGCAGCCGCGGUAAUACGUAGGUGGCAAGCGUUGUCCGGAUUUAUUGGGCGUAAAGGGAGCGCAGGUGGUUUCUUAAGUCUGAUGUGAAAGCCCACGGCUUAACCGUGGAGGGUCAUUGGAAACUGGGAAACUUGAGUACAGAAGAGGAAUGUGGAACUCCAUGUGUAGCGGUGGAAUGCGUAGAUAUAUGGAAGAACACCAGUGGCGAAGGCGACAUUCUGGUCUGUUACUGACACUGAGGCUCGAAAGCGUGGGGAGCAAACAGGAUUAGAUACCCUGGUAGUCCACGCCGUAAACGAUGAGUGCUAGGUGUUGGAGGGUUUCCGCCCUUCAGUGCCGCAGUUAACGCAUUAAGCACUCCGCCUGGGGAGUACGACCGCAAGGUUGAAACUCAAAGGAAUUGACGGGGACCCGCACAAGCGGUGGAGCAUGUGGUUUAAUUCGAAGCAACGCGAAGAACCUUACCAAGUCUUGACAUCCUUUGACCACCCUAGAGAUAGGGCUUUCCCUUCGGGGACAAAGUGACAGGUGGUGCAUGGUUGUCGUCAGCUCGUGUCG
This 1044-nucleotide ribosomal RNA is filed under the name Aerococcus urinaeequi. RNAcentral's name for it is "bacterial SSU rRNA". It matches the Rfam family "Bacterial small subunit ribosomal RNA", at positions 39 to 1067 of the family's 1533-position model. The record is from RNAcentral. Lineage: Bacteria; Bacillati; Bacillota; Bacilli; Lactobacillales; Aerococcaceae.